Long non-coding RNA from Melitaea cinxia (Glanville fritillary), 312 nucleotides. RefSeq lists it as uncharacterized. The record is from RefSeq and is a predicted model, not a curated record. Lineage: Eukaryota; Metazoa; Arthropoda; Insecta; Lepidoptera; Nymphalidae. The transcript has 2 exons.
ACGUAUACGUAGAGGAACUGCAGCAUAUUUGGGAUACUGCAGAUAACUUGGAAUACUUCGAUAUCUAAAUAAAUAAAAACGCCAUCUGUGUUUUUAUGCGCUAAACAUAAUGUCAUACGACACACAAAGCCAAAAAAUAUUAAAAACUAGACGCCAUCUUGACAUUCCGGCUACCAGCCUCAAGUGAACGAGACGUCUGCUUUGAAAACUUUUUCGAACUAGCAAUAUAGGUCGUAAGCCAGCAAAAUCGGCAAUAAUCUCCAAGUUUUUUUUUAUAAGGAGAACGCAUGCACAACGAAAAAAGUCAUAUAA